RNAcentral lists this transfer RNA (85 nucleotides) under endosymbiont 'TC1' of Trimyema compressum. RNAcentral's name for it is "tRNA-Tyr". It matches the Rfam family "tRNA". From Rfam's summary of the family: Transfer RNA (tRNA) molecules are approximately 80 nucleotides in length. Their secondary structure includes four short double-helical elements and three loops (D, anti-codon, and T loops). The record is from RNAcentral. Lineage: Bacteria; Bacillati; Bacillota.
GGGGAGAUUCCCGAGAGGCUAAAGGGGGCAGACUGUAAAUCUGCUGUCGACGACUUCGCAGGUUCGAAUCCUGCUCUCCCCACCA